Molecule: non-coding RNA, 60 nt
Filed under: Limosilactobacillus ingluviei
Lineage: Bacteria; Bacillati; Bacillota; Bacilli; Lactobacillales; Lactobacillaceae
Description: Lactobacillus ingluviei Transposase-1 RNA
Rfam family: Transposase-1 RNA
About the family: Lactobacillales (Firmicutes). Environment (Human Microbiome Project, vagina)
Source: Rfam by way of RNAcentral
CUAUUAGAGGCAGUUAAUGUCGCUUUCCUCUUGUUAGGGAGGUGGGAAUACUGCUGUUGA